CCCCGUCAAUUCCUUUGAGUUUCAUUCUUGCGAACGUACUCCCCAGGUGGGAUACUUAUAACUUUCGCUUAGCCACUGAAUCCGAAAACCCAACAGCAAGUAUCCAUCGUUUACGGCGUGGACUACCAGGGUAUCUAAUCCUGUUCGCUCCCCACGCUUUCGUCCAUCAGCGUCAGUUGAUGUUUAGUCACCUGCCUUCGCAAUUGGUGUUCUGCGUAAUAUCUAAGCAUUUCACCGCUACACUACACAUUCCAGCAACUUCAACAUCACUCAAGACUAACAGUAUCAAUGGCAGUUUCAUAGUUAAGCUAUGAGAUUUCACCACUGACUGAUUAAUCCGCCUACGGACCCUUUAAACCCAAUAAAUCCGGAUAACGCUUGCACCCUCCGUAUUACCGCGGCUGCUGGCACGGAGUUAGCCGGUGCUUAUUCUUCUGGUACCUUCAGCUACUCACACGUGAGUAGGUUUAUCCCCAGAUAAAAGUAGUUUACAACCCAUAAGGCCGUCAUCCUACACGCGGGAUGGCUGGAUCAGGCUUCCACCCAUUGUCCAAUAUUCCUCACUGCUGCCUCCCGUAGGAGUCUGGUCCGUGUCUCAGUACCAGUGUGGGGGUUCACCCUCUCAGGCCCCCUAAAGAUCAUCGUCUUGGUGAGCCGUUACCUCACCAACUAACUAAUCUUACGCAUGCCUAUCCUACUGCGAUAAAUCUUUCAAAAUCUAAUGAUGCCAUUAAAUCUGUUAUAAAGUAUUAAUCCUCCUUUCGAAGGGCUAUCCUUUUCAGUAGGGCAAGUUGCAUACGCGUUACGCACCCGUGCGCCGGUCUCUAGUUCCCGAAAGAACUAUACCCCUCGGCUUGCAUGUGUUAAGCCUCCCGCUAGCGUUCAUCCUGAGCCAUGAUCAAACUCAAUCACUAGUGCGGCCGCCUGCAGGUCGACCAUAUGGGAGAGCUCCCAACGCGUUGGAUGCAUAGCUUGAGUAUUCUAU
RNAcentral lists this ribosomal RNA (985 nucleotides) under uncultured bacterium. RNAcentral describes it as "partial 16S ribosomal RNA". The record is from RNAcentral.